Molecule: ribosomal RNA, 444 nt
Filed under: uncultured bacterium
Lineage: Bacteria
Description: bacterial SSU rRNA
Rfam family: Bacterial small subunit ribosomal RNA
Source: RNAcentral
AGAGUUUGAUCUGGCUCAGAGCGAACGCUGGCGGAAUGCUUAACACAUGCAAGUCGUACGGGCAGCUUCGGCUGUCAGUGGCGGACGGGUGAGUAACGCGUAGGAACGUGUCCUGUGGUGGGGGAUAACGCUGGGAAACUGGCGCUAAUACCGCAUAUGGCCUGAGGGUCAAAGCCGUGAGGCGUCAUGGGAGCGGCCUGCGUCCGAUUAGGUAGUUGGUGGGGUAAAGGCCUACCAAGCCUGCGAUCGGUAGCUGGUCUGAGAGGAUGAUCAGCCACACUGGGACUGAGACACGGCCCAGACUCCUACGGGAGGCAGCAGUGGGGAAUAUUGGACAAUGGGCGAAAGCCUGAUCCAGCAAUUCCGCGUGGGUGAAGAAGGUCUUCGGAUUGUAAAGCCCUUUCGGCAGGGACGAUGAAGACGGUACCUGCAGAAGAAGCCCCG